AUUGAACGCUGGCGGCAUGCUUUACACAUGCAAGUCGAACGGCAGCGCGGUCUUCGGCCUGGCUGCGAGUGGCGCACGGGUGUGUAUUGCAUCGGAACGUCCCCAGCUGUGGUGUAUAGCCCGGCGAAAGCCGGAUUAAUACCGCAUACGACCUGAGGGUGAAAGCGGGGGACCGAAAGGCCUUUCGCUAUUUUAGCGGUCGAUGUCGGAUUAGCUAGUUGGUGGGGUAAAGGCUUACCAAGGCGACGAUCCGUAGCUGGUCUGAGAGGACGACAAGCCACACGGGAACGGAGACACGGCCCAGACUCCUAAGGGAGGCAGCAGUGGGGAAUGUUGGACAAUGGGGGCAACCCUGAUCCAGCCAUGCCGCGUGCGAGAAGAAGGCCUUCGGGUUGUAAACCGCUUUUGUUGGGGAAGAAAAGCUCUGGGCUAAUACCCCGGGGGGAUGACGGUACCGGAAGAAUAAGCACCGGCUAACUACGUG
Molecule: ribosomal RNA, 484 nt
Filed under: uncultured bacterium
Lineage: Bacteria
Description: partial 16S ribosomal RNA
Rfam family: Bacterial small subunit ribosomal RNA
Source: RNAcentral